This 531-nucleotide unclassified non-coding RNA is filed under the name Hevea brasiliensis (rubber tree). Lineage: Eukaryota; Viridiplantae; Streptophyta; Magnoliopsida; Malpighiales; Euphorbiaceae. The record is from RNAcentral.
GCGUCAUUUCAGUUUUUAUAUAUGAGAAAUUUCCAUUUUAUUUGAUGUGUUGAAUAUUUGUUUACUUCUCGGAUGUAUUGCUCAACCAGAUCCAAAGAUUGAAAAAGUGAAGUCUCAGGUGAAAUUUUUCCUUUCGAUGUCACCAACUUAAGCCCUCGUCCUCGUCCACUUCCAAUUUCCCCUGGUGCGACAAAUUAGUAUCUCAUAGUACUCUUUGUAACUGAUUCAUCCUCAUUUUUGGUCUUCACAUUAAACCUGAGACUCGAUUGAAUAGAAGAUAUAAUUUGAGUUGAGAUGCUGCUAGGCCUCUGCUUUUUAUAAACUAAGGUAAUAUAGCUGAAACACUAGGACAUGCGCUUUUGUUUGCUGCUACAGACCUAUUCUUUCUCAGAAUUUUGUAGUAGAGACUAGAAAACAGAAAUGUUGAUGAUCAAUAGAGAGGCUUUUGGGAAGAGCUAGAUAACCCUCGGCAGAACUUGCACUUGAUCUAAAUGAAAAAGAAAUGGCGUGUGUUCUUGGGAAUGCCUAAAG